This 445-nucleotide ribosomal RNA is filed under the name uncultured bacterium. RNAcentral describes it as "bacterial SSU rRNA". It matches the Rfam family "Bacterial small subunit ribosomal RNA", at positions 354 to 796 of the family's 1533-position model. The record is from RNAcentral.
GUGAGGAAUAUUGGUCAAUGGACGAGAGUCUGAACCAGCCAAGUAGCGUGAAGGAUGACUGCCCUAUGGGUUGUAAACUUCUUUUAUACGGGAAUAAAGUUAGCCACGUGUGGCUUUUUGUAUGUACCGUAUGAAUAAGGAUCGGCUAACUCCGUGCCAGCAGCCGCGGUAAUACGGAGGAUCCGAGCGUUAUCCGGAUUUAUUGGGUUUAAAGGGAGCGUAGGCGGGUUGUUAAGUCAGUUGUGAAAGUUUGCGGCUCAACCGUAAAAUUGCAGUUGAUACUGGCGACCUUGAGUGCAACAGAGGUAGGCGGAAUUCGUGGUGUAGCGGUGAAAUGCUUAGAUAUCACGAAGAACUCCGAUUGCGAAGGCAGCUUACUGGAUUGUAACUGACGCUGAUGCUCGAAAGUGUGGGUAUCAAACAGGAUUAGAAACCCGAGUAGUCC